This 252-nucleotide ribosomal RNA is filed under the name uncultured bacterium. Its description in RNAcentral is "partial 16S ribosomal RNA". It matches the Rfam family "Bacterial small subunit ribosomal RNA", at positions 524 to 775 of the family's 1533-position model. The record is from RNAcentral.
GACAGAGGGUGCAAACGUUGUUCGGAAUUACUGGGCGUAAAGCGCGUGUAGGCGGCCCAGCAAGUCGGAUGUGAAAGCCCUGGGCUUAACCUAGGAAGUGCAUUCGAAACUGCUGGGCUUGAGUUCUGGAGAGGAAGGCGGAAUUCUCGGUGUAGAGGUGAAAUUCGUAGAUAUCGAGAGGAACACCGGUGGCGAAGGCGGCCUUCUGGACAGUGACUGACGCUGAGACGCGAAAGCGUGGGGAGCAACAGG